GUGCUCCUUCGGCAGCACAUGUACUAAAAACUGGAGUGAUACCAAGGGGAUUAGUGUGGCCCCUGCACAAGGAUGACACACAAAUUCGUGAAGAGUUCCAUAUUGUU
Molecule: small nuclear RNA, 107 nt
Organism: Artibeus jamaicensis (Jamaican fruit-eating bat)
Lineage: Eukaryota; Metazoa; Chordata; Mammalia; Chiroptera; Phyllostomidae
Source: RefSeq, a predicted model, not a curated record